AUUGAACGCUGGCGGCAGGCCUAACACAUGCAAGUCGAGCGGCAGCGGGAAAGUAGCUUGCUACUUUUACCGGCGAGCGGCGGACGGGUGAGUAAUGCCUGGGAAAUUGCCCAGUCGAGGGGGAUAACAGUUGGAAACGACUGCUAAUACCGCAUACGCCCUACGGGGGAAAGCAGGGGACCUUCGGGCCUUGCGCGAUUGGAUAUGCCCAGGUGGGAUUAGCUAGUUGGUGAGGUAAUGGCUCACCAAGGCGACGAUCCCUAGCUGGUCUGAGAGGAUGAACAGCCACACUGGAACUGAGACACGGUCCAGACUCCUACGGGAGGCAGCAGUGGGGAAUAUUGCACAAUGGGGGAAACCCUGAUGCAGCCAUGCCGCGUGUGUGAAGAAGGCCUUCGGGUUGUAAAGCACUUUCAGCGAGGAGGAAAGGUUGAUGCCUAAUACGUAUCAACUGUGACGUUACUCGCAGAAGAAGCACCGGCUAACUCCGUGCCAGCCGCCGCAGUAA
This 508-nucleotide ribosomal RNA is filed under the name uncultured bacterium. RNAcentral's name for it is "partial 16S ribosomal RNA". It matches the Rfam family "Bacterial small subunit ribosomal RNA", at positions 30 to 523 of the family's 1533-position model. The record is from RNAcentral.